Molecule: ribosomal RNA, 474 nt
Filed under: uncultured bacterium
Lineage: Bacteria
Description: bacterial SSU rRNA
Rfam family: Bacterial small subunit ribosomal RNA
Source: RNAcentral
CGCUAUCACUCCUACGGGAGGCAGCAGUAGGGAAUCUUACCACAAUGGGCGCAAGCCUGAUGGAGCAACACCGCGUGAGUGAAGAAGGGUUUCGGCUCGUAAAGCUCUGUUGUUAAAGAAGAACACGUAUGAGAGUAACUGUUCAUACGUUGACGGUAUUUAACCAGAAAGUCACGGCUAACUACGUGCCAGCAGCCGCGGUAAUACGUAGGUGGCAAGCGUUAUCCGGAUUUAUUGGGCGUAAAGAGAGUGCAGGCGGUUUUCUAAGUCUGAUGUGAAAGCCUUCGGCUUAACCGGAGAAGUGCAUCGGAAACUGGAUAACUUGAGUGCAGAAGAGGGUAGUGGAACUCCAUGUGUAGCGGUGGAAUGCGUAGAUAUAUGGAAGAACACCAGUGGCGAAGGCGGCUACCUGGUCUGCAACUGACGCUGAGACUCGAAAGCAUGGGUAGCGAACAGGAUUAGAUACCCUGGUAG